This 714-nucleotide ribosomal RNA is filed under the name Salmonella enterica. Its description in RNAcentral is "partial 23S ribosomal RNA". It matches the Rfam family "Bacterial large subunit ribosomal RNA", at positions 2089 to 2802 of the family's 2925-position model. The record is from RNAcentral. Lineage: Bacteria; Pseudomonadati; Pseudomonadota; Gammaproteobacteria; Enterobacterales; Enterobacteriaceae.
CCCCGUGAACCUUUACUAUAGCUUGACACUGAACAUUGAGCCUUGAUGUGUAGGAUAGGUGGGAGGCUUUGAAGUGUGGACGCCAGUCUGCAUGGAGCCGGCCUUGAAAUACCACCCUUUAAUGUUUGAUGUUCUAACGUGGACCCGUGAUCCGGGUUGCGGACAGUGUCUGGUGGGUAGUUUGACUGGGGCGGUCUCCUCCUAAAGAGUAACGGAGGAGCACGAAGGUUGGCUAAUCCUGGUCGGACAUCAGGAGGUUAGUGCAAUGGCAUAAGCCAGCUUGACUGCGAGCGUGACGGCGCGAGCAGGUGCGAAAGCAGGUCAUAGUGAUCCGGUGGUUCUGAAUGGAAGGGCCAUCGCUCAACGGAUAAAAGGUACUCCGGGGAUAACAGGCUGAUACCGCCCAAGAGUUCAUAUCGACGGCGGUGUUUGGCACCUCGAUGUCGGCUCAUCACAUCCUGGGGCUGAAGUAGGUCCCAAGGGUAUGGCUGUUCGCCAUUUAAAGUGGUACGCGAGCUGGGUUUAGAACGUCGUGAGACAGUUCGGUCCCUAUCUGCCGUGGGCGCUGGAGAACUGAGGGGGGCUGCUCCUAGUACGAGAGGACCGGAGUGGACGCAUCACUGGUGUUCGGGUUGUCAUGCCAAUGGCACUGCCCGGUAGCUAAAUGCGGAAGAGAUAAGUGCUGAAAGCAUCUAAGCACGAAACUUGCCCCGA